AUCAGAAAAACAAAAAUAAAUAAAAUGUACCAUUUUAGAAAGUUACUAUUAAACGUUUAUGAAUAUUUAUUGUAAUCGUUCAUACAUUGUGAUUAAGUUUAGUGAUUUUAAUUGUUUUAUUAUUUUUAACAAAAAUUAUUAAUGAAACGUAUUGACGUUGGAUCAACCACUGCGAAAAAAGGAGCGUACUCGGGUCAGCUAUUAUUAAUUAUAUAAACAAAUGAGCAUACAACAAGGGCAGACCGAAGAAACGAACGAUGAUUGAAAAAUAUUCACAAUUACCUAGUGAGGAUUAUGAUUGUGAUGACGAUCAAUAUAAUGAACAGAAAGACAACGAAUCAAGCAGUGAUGAAGAUGAAAAUAAAGAUUUAAAUAUAUAAAUAGCGUCUUAAGAAAAAUAUGAAUGUAACUAAUAUUAUUCUAAAGGCUACAUUAGAUGAAAAAUAUUAAUUGUUUUUAAACUGUAGUUUUAACUCAACAAAAA
Molecule: long non-coding RNA, 484 nt
Organism: Microplitis mediator
Lineage: Eukaryota; Metazoa; Arthropoda; Insecta; Hymenoptera; Braconidae
Exons: 3
Source: RefSeq, a predicted model, not a curated record